RNAcentral lists this microRNA (21 nucleotides) under Drosophila melanogaster (fruit fly). RNAcentral describes it as "dme-miR-954-5p". Its record names the gene dme-miR-954-5p. Lineage: Eukaryota; Metazoa; Arthropoda; Insecta; Diptera; Drosophilidae. The record is from miRBase by way of RNAcentral.
UCUGGGUGUUGCGUUGUGUGU